UUUAAUAUUUAUUUUUUAGUUUUCAGUGGACACAACAUCUUUAUUUUAUUUGUAUGUGGUGCUGAGGAUCGAACCCAGCGCCCCUCGCAUGCCAGGCGAGUGCGCUAGCCGCUUGAGCCACAUCCCCAGCCCCGGGUCCAGUACUUUUAAUCUCCCACAUUGUCUCUCUUGGUCUGGCUGUCCUCCUCACACACCACGUUCAAGAUGCAAGUUCCUUGCUCAAGAAGCCAUGUGUCAAUCUAGCCACAUGUUUUUACCUGUCUUUCAAGGCCCCUGCACUAGACCCAUCUCAACUCUAUGAUGGGUUUUGGGUGAACGAAGCCAGGUUCCCUGACUCCCUGAGACAUCCCAGUCUUGUUGGUUCCUUCUCUAAUCAAACUGUAGACACCUUUAGAUGAGAAGCUACAAUGUAAAAUUCUCCCAUGGCACUCCAAACCCAAGUAUAGAGAAAAUAUUUACGACUCAAUUGUUAAUGGAGAGAGAGAAAGAAAUACAAGGCCGUAAGGAUGUCUAAGAAUAAGGAAGUCCUUUUUCAGAUGCAUUAAAGAGUCCUCUGACUAAGGAACCUCCUGCCUAAGUCAUUAUUCACUUGCCUUCCUGGGUUUCUCCCAGCUACCUCCUUCUUGGGGAACCUAUUUUAGCCAUCGGGUGACUGUUAACAAUUUUCUUUCCCUUCAUGACCUGAGUGUGGUCAAAAAUGCCUCUUUAUAAUUGUCCUCAAUCUCAAUCUCAAUCUUUAUAAUCUGUCUUCAAUCUCUGAGAUAGAUGGCCUCAAAGUUGGUUAGUUAUUAACUAAUUAUUUAAUUUAGGUUUGUUUUGCCAAGAGGAAUUCUAUGAAAAUCCCUAUUGCCCAUCAGCCUGGGGCUUGUGGAAAGAGGGAGCACUGAGAAAAAAGUUUGAGGUCCCUCCUACUUUUUAAGGAGGGGACCUAGGGUCUGGGCUCCUUUCCUGGAGCACAGCCCUCUGCUUUGCAACUUUGCAGAAAGUGAGCAGCUGGCAGGAGAGUUGCAUUUUUUAGGCCCUAGGCUGCUCCUUCUUAUCUCAGGGAGGCUUGAUUUACUUUCCUCUAUCUUAUCACAGUCCAGGGCUCUGGUGAUGGAUUUCACCUUCGGCAUUUGCAAGGGGAGGUUGCUUCUUGCCAAGGGCACUCCCCCAAAGACAGAAUGAGAGGAGACAGCUCUGUGCUGGAUCCAUCCUUUGCUUCCUGCCUCCCCCAGCUCAGGUGGAGAGAGGAGGACCCUGCCCUUACUGAACUGGAGAGAAAGAGAUGGGAUACUGCUGCUUAGCAAGAAUAUAUAAAACUGCUUUUUCCCAGAUUUGGCCCAGACCUGCCUUUAUUUGAGAUAUCUCAGGGAAAUAGGAAGAAAAAAAUAAUAGUAUCCCUGUAGUGCUCUCCUCUUUAUUAUAUGGCCAUUCAAGUGCCUUUUCUAAUUUAAUCUUCAAAACAACUAAAGGGGCUGGGAUUGUAGCUCAGCGGUACAGCACUCGCCUAGCACACACAGAGCCCUGGGUUUGAUCCUCAGCACCACAUAAAAAAAUAAAUAAAUAAAACAAAG
This 1556-nucleotide long non-coding RNA is filed under the name Marmota monax (woodchuck). Lineage: Eukaryota; Metazoa; Chordata; Mammalia; Rodentia; Sciuridae. The record is from RNAcentral.